CAUAUGCAGACAUGGCUGGAUGUUCUUUGCUAGGCUGCUGAGUCAGAAGCCUGGACGGGCCAGCUUCAGUCUUAAUGAACUGGCUCAGGAAGGAAGUGCUAACAGAGAUGGGUGCACUGUGCAGUCAGUAGUGGGAGCUGAUGCCGGCUAGAAGAACUGAGCCUUGUGAGAGGCAGUCUGAUUCCUUGGAAAGAGCAUUGGCUGGAAGUCUGGAGGCCUGGGCUAGUCUCUGCUCUGCCACUAACUUGCUGCAUGACCCUGGUAAAGGUUUACUUCAAUUAAAAGUUUAUCAAGGGACCAGCCCAGUGGUGCAGCGGUUAAGUGCGCACGUUCCGCUUCUCAGCGGCCCAGGGUUUGACAGUUCGGAUCCUGGGUGCGGACAUGGCACCGCUUGGCAUGCCAUGCUGUGGAGCCUUCCUUGAUCUUCUUUCUAUCUCACCCCCUGGCUGGGUAGGUACUUCUCCUUAAUGAUCCCACAGAAUUUUGUGUUCACCUCUACUGUGGCACUUUUCACAUUGUUUUCUAGUUGUCUGCUCAUUUAUUGGUUGGCUUCUUUAGACUGGGAGCUCCUGAAAAGGUAGGGGCUAUCAUCUUUAUCUUUGUAUCCCCAGCAUCCAGCUCAGCCCUGGCCCACCAUAGGCACUCAGUGAAUGUUGAUUUGAGCAAAAGACACGAUUGAAAGAAAUGUCUCCUGAAAUUGCUUCUUACAAAUCUAGCCAACAAGUGCAGCAUCCUAGAUGGAGGCACCAGAGAUGACAUCAUCUCUGGCUUUCUGCUGCAGACCCACAUGGAGAAUCCCACAUGGUGCAACCAAAAUCCUCAAGGCCAGAUAGGUCUUUUCAUUGGAAGCCCUAAAAUGCAAUGCCUGGCUUUGAAGAGGGUGUAUGACACAAAUGAUUUACUAUGCAUUGAUCUGACUAAUGGAAAAUAAACAAUAACUUUUAAAUUAUCAUCCUUUGAGUGUGAUGUGUUUAGGUCACAUGUGAUGUGAUUGGUCAAUGUUAAAAAAUAUAUGUGAUUUUUAGCCUUCCAGAUCCCACGGUAAUGUCUGAAAAGAAACUUUUAAAAUUGAAUAAGUAUAGGGUUAUUU
RNAcentral lists this long non-coding RNA (1090 nucleotides) under Equus caballus (horse). Its description in RNAcentral is "lncRNA (ENSECAG00000054818.1)". Lineage: Eukaryota; Metazoa; Chordata; Mammalia; Perissodactyla; Equidae. The record is from RNAcentral.